UACGUAGGGGGCAAGCGUUGUCCGGAUUUAUUGGGCGUAAAGAGCGUGUAGGCGGCCAGACAGGUCCUCUGUGAAAACUCGAGGCUCAACCUCGAGAGGUCGGUGGAAACCGUCUGGCUAGAGUCCGGAAGAGGAGAGUGGAAUUCCCGGUGUAGCGGUGAAAUGCGCAGAUAUCGGGAAGAACACACGUGGCGAAGGCGGCUCUCUGGGACGGUACUGACGCUGAGACGCGAAAGCGUGGGGAGCGAGCAGG
RNAcentral lists this ribosomal RNA (253 nucleotides) under uncultured bacterium. RNAcentral describes it as "partial 16S ribosomal RNA". It matches the Rfam family "Bacterial small subunit ribosomal RNA", at positions 524 to 776 of the family's 1533-position model. The record is from RNAcentral.